RNAcentral lists this long non-coding RNA (342 nucleotides) under Zalophus californianus (California sea lion). RNAcentral's name for it is "lncRNA (ENSZCAG00015013567.1)". The record is from RNAcentral. Lineage: Eukaryota; Metazoa; Chordata; Mammalia; Carnivora; Otariidae.
UUACCCAUCUGCCUGGCCAGACCUGUUCUCCAGGGCUCUGUCCUGCUCUGGGGGCCACACACUUGGACAAGGUGGGAGAGGGGUCAGAUCCACCUCUGGAGCUGAGGGCAGAAAUAACCACUGGGAAGGCAGCUUCGUUUCCAGCCUCCUGGGGCCUUGAUGUCACAGCGUUGGAGACGGUGUUGCGGUGAAAAAAAAAUUCCCCAAGUGUAAACAGGAGAAAGGUGCUGGUUAAGUUACUCAUCAUUAUCUUAUUAUUAACAAAAUAAAGCACUAUCUAUGUUUACAGUCAUAAAAAAACAAACAGCCUGGAGAGAAGUUGGGCUUGAGGGAAGGGGGGGG